This 581-nucleotide long non-coding RNA is filed under the name Olea europaea (common olive). RNAcentral's name for it is "long non-coding RNA (OEUR_LNC006738)". The record is from RNAcentral. Lineage: Eukaryota; Viridiplantae; Streptophyta; Magnoliopsida; Lamiales; Oleaceae.
AAAGGACGGACGCUGUCAAACCUGGCAGAGUAGAGGUCGUGAGUUCGAAACAUGGGGCUCUUGGAAGGCAAGGAUUUAUUCUUGGAAGGCAGGGGAACAUUUGGAAGGCAAGGAUUUAUUCUUGGAAAGCAACCCCCCCCCCCCAAAUUGAAAACAAUAAAAAAACACUCAGUCUUACACCAACACUAGUAAUACUAAGUCCUAGUUAUCUCCUGCCCCCUAGGGCACUUCUCCACUGGCAAAGCACGGACGCUGUCAAACCUGACAGAGCAGAGGUCGUGAGUUCGAAACAUAGGGCUCUUGGAAGGCAAGGAUUUAUUCUUGGAAGGCAGGGGAACAUUUGGAAGGCAAGGAUUUAUUCUUGGAAGGCAAGUGGGAACUUGGAAGGCAAGAAUUAUUCUUGGAAGGCAAGGUGCAACUUGGAUUGGCUUGCUUGACACUUUGUCAGACCAGGUGGGGAGCGCUCGGACCCUGGCCAGUCGGAGGCACAUCCUGCGAUUAAUCGGACUGUGUGAAGAGGGGCCGGAUCACAGACCCAAGGAUUAGUCAAGAAUUGGACACCUUGUAAAAAAAAAAAAAAG